This 301-nucleotide ribosomal RNA is filed under the name uncultured bacterium. RNAcentral's name for it is "partial 16S ribosomal RNA". It matches the Rfam family "Bacterial small subunit ribosomal RNA", at positions 509 to 807 of the family's 1533-position model. The record is from RNAcentral.
CAGCCGCCGCGGGAAUACGUAGGGUGCAAGCGUUAAUCGGAAUUACUGGGCGUAAAGCGUGCGCAGGCGGUUAUAUAAGACAGAUGUGAAAUCCCCGGGCUCAACCUGGGAACUGCAUUGGUGACUGCAACGCUGGAGUGCGGCAGAGGGGGAUGGAAUUCCGCGUGUAGCAGUGAAAUGCGUAGAUAUGCGGAGGAACACCGAUGGCGAAGGCAAUCCCCUGGGCCUGCACUGACGCUCAUGCACGAAAGCGUGGGGAGCAAACAGGAUUAGAUACCCCUGUAGUCCCUGUCUCUUAUAC